Molecule: transfer RNA, 67 nt
Filed under: Eualetes tulipa
Lineage: Eukaryota; Metazoa; Mollusca; Gastropoda; Littorinimorpha; Vermetidae
Description: tRNA-Val
Source: RNAcentral
GGGAAUAAAGCAUUUAUUGAUGCGUGUCAUUUACAUUGAUAUUAAACUAAAGCAAUAGUUGUUCCUU